RNAcentral lists this ribosomal RNA (483 nucleotides) under uncultured bacterium. RNAcentral describes it as "partial 16S ribosomal RNA". It matches the Rfam family "Bacterial small subunit ribosomal RNA", at positions 29 to 506 of the family's 1533-position model. The record is from RNAcentral.
AUUGAACGCUGGCGGCAGGCCUAACACAUGCAAGUCGAGCGGACGAAGGGAGCUUGCUCCUGGAUUCAGCGGCGGACGGGUGAGUAAGGCCUAGGAAGAUGCCUGGUAGUGGGGGAUAAGGUACGGAAAGGGGCGCUAAUACCGUAUACGUUCUGAGGGAGAAAGGGGGGGAUCAUCGGACCUCAAGGGAUCAGAUGAGCCUAGGUGGGGUUAGCGAGUUGGAGGGGUAAAGGCCUACCAGGGCGACGAUCCGUACCUGGUCUGAGAGGAUGAUCAGUCACACUGGAACUGAGACACGGUCCAGACCCCUACGGGAGGCAGCAGUGGGAAAUAUUGGACAAUGGGCGAAAGCCUGAGCCACCCCUGCCGCGUGUGUGAAGAAGGUCUCCGGAUUUUAAAGCCUUUUAAGUUGGGAGAAAGAGCAGUAAGUUAAUACCUUGCUGUUUGGCCGUACCCAACAGAAUAAGCACCGGCUACCUUCGG